CAGGCACACACACACAAGCUCACUCACUAGCAGGCACACACACUCACAAGCUCACUCACUAGCAGACGCGCUCACUCACUAGCAGGCACAUACACAUAAGCUCACUCCCUAGCAGGCACACACACACAUAAGCUCACUCACUAGCAGGCACACAUGCACACACAAACUCCCCAAAUAGUAGUUGCACGCACACACACACAC
Pelobates cultripes (western spadefoot toad) is the source of this 201-nucleotide non-coding RNA. NCBI's taxonomy places the organism in Eukaryota, Metazoa, Chordata, Amphibia, Anura, Pelobatidae. The record is from the annotation of a GenBank genome assembly.